CCCUUAGAUGUUCUGGGCCGCACGCGCGCUACACUGAUUCAUGCAACGAGUUUUGUCCUUGGCUGAAAGGCCUGGGUAAUCUUUGAACGUGAAUCGUGCUGGGGAUAGAUGAUUGCAAUUAUUCAUCUUCAACGAGGAAUUCCUAGUAAACGCAAGUCAUCAGCUUGCAUUGAUUACGUCCCUGCCCUUUGUACACACCGCCCGUCGCACCUACCGAUUGAAUGGUCCGGUGAAAUCUUCGGAUCUGAGAGAUGUUGGAUUAAUUUCUGACGCCUUUUGGAAAAGUCGCUUAAACCUUAUCAUUUAGAGGAAGGUGAAGCCGUAACA
Molecule: ribosomal RNA, 327 nt
Filed under: uncultured eukaryote
Lineage: Eukaryota
Description: partial 18S ribosomal RNA
Rfam family: Eukaryotic small subunit ribosomal RNA
Source: RNAcentral